GACGAACGCUGGCGGCGUGCUUAACACAUGCAGGUCGAACGGAAAGGCCCUGCUUGCAGGGUGCUCGAGUGGCGAACGGGUGAGUAACACGUGGGUGAUCUGCCCCUUACUUUGGGAUAAGCCUGGGAAACUGGGUCUAAUACUGGAUAGGACCAUGCUGUAGGUGGUGUGGUGGAAAGAUUAGUUUCGGUAAGGGAUGAGCUCGCGGCCUAUCAGCUUGUUGUUGGGGUAAUGGCCUACCAAGGCGUCGGCGGGUAGCCGGCCUGAGAGGGUGGACGGCCACGUUGGGACUGCGAGACGGCCCAGACUCCUGCGGGAGGCAGCAAUGGGGAAUAUUGUAAAAGGGGCGCAAGGCUGAUGCAGCGACGCCGCGUGGGGGAUGACGGCCUGCGGGUUGUAAACUCCUUUCAGCCAUGACGAAGCCCUUGUGGUGACGGUAGUGGUAGAAGAAGCACCGGCUAACUACGUG
Molecule: ribosomal RNA, 469 nt
Filed under: uncultured bacterium
Lineage: Bacteria
Description: partial 16S ribosomal RNA
Rfam family: Bacterial small subunit ribosomal RNA
Source: RNAcentral